UACGGAGGGUGCAAGCGUUAAUCGGAAUUACUGGGCGUAAAGCGCGCGUAGGUGGUUAUGUAAGCGAGAUGUGAAAGCCCCGGGCUCAACCUGGGAACGGCACUUCGAACUGCAUGGCUAGAGUGUGGUAGAGGGUAGUGGAAUUUCCUGUGUAGCGGUGAAAUGCGUAGAUAUAGGAAGGAACACCAGUGGCGAAGGCGGCUACCUGGACCAACACUGACACUGAGGUGCGAAAGCGUGGGGAGCAAACAGGAUUAGAAACCCUGUAGUCC
Molecule: ribosomal RNA, 272 nt
Filed under: uncultured prokaryote
Description: partial 16S ribosomal RNA
Rfam family: Bacterial small subunit ribosomal RNA
Source: RNAcentral